Molecule: ribosomal RNA, 252 nt
Filed under: uncultured bacterium
Lineage: Bacteria
Description: partial 16S ribosomal RNA
Rfam family: Bacterial small subunit ribosomal RNA
Source: RNAcentral
UACGGAGGAUGCGAGCGUUAUCCGGAUUUAUUGGGUUUAAAGGGUGCGUAGGCGGGCUUUUAAGUCAGCGGUAAAAAUUCGGGGCUCAACCCCGUCCGGCCGUUGAAACUGGGGGUCUUGAGUGGGCGAGAAGAAGGCGGAAUGCGUGGUGUAGCGAUGAAAUGCAUAGAUAUCACGCAGAACCCCGAUUGCGAAGGCAGCCUUCCGGCGCCCUACUGACGCUGAGGCACGAAAGUGCGGGGAUCGAACAGG